This 305-nucleotide unclassified non-coding RNA is filed under the name plant metagenome. Its description in RNAcentral is "partial contains 5.8S ribosomal RNA, internal transcribed spacer 2, and large subunit ribosomal RNA". The stretch from base 1 to 105 matches the Rfam family "5.8S ribosomal RNA", at positions 50 to 154 of the family's 154-position model. The record is from RNAcentral.
GAAAUGCGAUAAGUAAUGUGAAUUGCAGAAUUCAGUGAAUCAUCGAAUCUUUGAACGCACAUUGCGCCCACCAGUACUCUGGCGGGCAUGCCUGUUCGAGCGUCAUUUCAACCAUCAAGCCCCCGGCUUGUGUUGGGGACCUGCGGCUGCCCGCAGGCCCUGAAAAACAGUGGCGGGCUCGCUGUCACACCGAGCGUAGUAGCAUACAUUCUCGCUCAGGGCGUGCUGCGGGUUCCGGCCGUUAAACGACCUUCAUAACCCAAGGUUGACCUCGGAUCAGGUAGGAAGACCCGCUGAACUUAAGC